RNAcentral lists this long non-coding RNA (5219 nucleotides) under Heterocephalus glaber (naked mole-rat). RNAcentral's name for it is "lncRNA (ENSHGLG00000033221.1)". The record is from RNAcentral. Lineage: Eukaryota; Metazoa; Chordata; Mammalia; Rodentia; Bathyergidae.
AGAUUUACAAUCAGACGAGCCCAGGCAUGUGGCCUGGCGUGUGGUAGGUGGUGGAUGGUGUUAGCACCAGAGCCUGCAGCAGGAGUGGGGGCUGCGUGUCCUUCGGACUUUCAUUGCAAUGAGAAGGUGUCCCGGUCCGGCUCUCUGCCUGGGUCCUGCUGUGCAGGUCCUCAGAGGUCAGAGGCUGGCGGGUGGGGAUGAUGCAGGACACCCAGGGCCUCCGCCAACGCAUCAGCAUGGCUCCGACCCAUGCUGAACCUUUUUACAUCAGCAAAGCGCACAGGUCAGGCCCAGACAGGAGCAGAGCUCGGGCAGCUGGCCGGGACCGGGCAGUAGCCCAGAUGUAGCCCUGGCCAGAGCUCAGCCUUGGAUACAAGGAAGAAUUUGAAUGUAGUCAACUUAACUCUAAAUAGACAGCAUGCAUUUGGGGGCACAUCUAAGUCGGGGUGGUCUUCUCACCGGACAAGGGAGCAGCCAUACAUCUCCAUGGACACACGUGCUGGGCACAAGAUGCCCUGCCGUGCCCCCGGUGUGCGGCAGGGCUGACGAAUGCUUUCUCAGCACUGACUCCUGCCUCGACCCGGAGGGCAGCACCAGAAGACAGAAGGUCGGUCUUGCCACAGCCCUCGUGUGACCGUGACUGCAGCCUGCCCGCCUGGCACCCUGGAGCACAGAGCCAGGGGAGCUGGGUCCUACCGGGGCAGGAGGCAGGGCUGACGGGGAAAAGGCCCAGCCAGAGGUCCGUUACCAUCCUGUCCUGCCUGAUUUCCACCCUAAGGGGCCUGGAGCUCUGCCUGGCUCCGGUUCACCUUCCUCACUGCCACCUCAGGGCCCUGGGUCUCCUGCGGGCAGCCUGGGCCUCUCAGGGCUCACAAUCAUCAGCCAGAGAUCAAGGGCCACAGGGGCUCAGGCAGGGCUGCCCGGCCAGUGCUGUGCUCUGAACCCGGACAGCAUGGCCCGGCCGUGCUCCUGGGACUCCGCGCCUGCUCCUGGACAGUGCCGCUCUGCGUGCCUCUGUGGUUUUGCUGCAGACCCAGACUGGCUUGGUGGAGUCUGGCAACUGCCCCUUCGCAGCCAGGUGACCCCGGCAGGGCAGGCCGUGUGACCUCUCCGUACCUCCAUUCUGUCAUCUGUCGAUCACUGUUCGCAUGAACAGAUCCGCCAGCCAGCCCGGCAGGGGAGCCUGCAGCUCAGGGCCCAGCCCAGGUGGGCAGGUCCUGGGGGAUCUUGGGGGUCGCCUAAGGCCAGCGCUGGCGUGAUGGGGAGAAUCCGCUGCAAAGCCCUGCAGACAGGAGGGGCUGUGGCACCACUGUUGGACGGAUCCAGGCGGGGGGCUGCCCUUCGUUCCCAGCUCCAGGGAAAGGGGCUCCGGGCUCUCUUUAGGCCUGGGAAGAGCUGCCAGCUUCAGGGCGAGUCUGAGCAACAGAGUUCCUCAAGUGCACAGCCACUGGCUUGGUCCGGGGACCCAGCACCUCUCAGAUCUGCCCUGGCCCUGGCUUGGCUGACUUCCACGUGGCUUGUGUGGAUGGAGGGUCCAGGCAGCCCCCCAAACCAGGUCCUCAGGGAGAGGGACGGGCACUGGCCACUUUAGCUUCUUUGUGACAUGCCUGCGCCUCCACGUGCUCAGUGUAAGCUCCUGUCCACUGGAAACAACACAGCAAGCUGUCACUCGGGAGACAGAUCAGGGCUGGCAGGAGGCUCACUCAGCACAGAUGGCCCUGCACACCCACCCCGGGCAGCCCGGGAGGAAGAACUGAGAUCAGGACCCGGGGACCAGGUCUUCCCAAGGGACCAGCAGAUGCCGGCCUUGUGUCCUGGUGCCCACUCACCUAAACUGCCGGACUCCCUCUGCCCUUUUUCUCUUUCCAUUAGAUUUGUAUUUCUAGGAUCCACAGCACUUUUCUCAAAAGUGAACUUUAAAAUUCUUUAAAGCUUUAUUUCUUUUUAAUGGUGUCCAAUAUGUUGACAGGAAACACGGGCAUGUUGUUAACUAAGUGGGGUCCAGUGUGGUACACGAGUCACCUGACAUGCCGUGUGUGUGUCCAUUGCUGAGCACCCCGAAAAUCACUCUUAGCCCUUUUCAGGAACGUGGCGUGCUGCUUCUCACUAGCGCCAGGGUGGGUAAGGGGGCUCCGGAAGCCCCUGCUGUCCUCACCCGGCAUCUCAUCCUCCCAGCACCCUCCUCCCAGAAGGGCCCAGCUCUGGAGUUCCACUUCUCAGGACUUCGAGGAUACAAGUUCGAGUCCAGCCACUGUGCCCUGUGUCCAGCCGGGCAAUGAGAUUUCGUUCUCUGUGUGUCCCAGGGCAAAGACCCCCAGGACGUCACUGCCUGUCCCGUCCUGCUUGGAGGUGAAUAGCAGUUCUGCUGCGAGAGCUUUUGAGGAACCUGCACACUGUUUUCCAGCGGCUGGACUAACCACUCUACCACCAGUGCCCAAGUCCUCACAAAGGGAGACUGCCCAGGGCCAAGGGCAGGGACUUCGCUCCUGAACUGGACCAGUCGCUUUGUUUCCUAUCUGCCCUGACGCAGGACCAGGCACCAGGACUGGAAGCCAGAUGCCCCUGGGUCAGAGUCACCAGCUCCACCCUGUUCUGUCCGCACACCCAGGGCUGGAGGAAAUCUCGCCAACACCCAGGGCUCUCGAGGCCGGGGGUCCCCCAGACGCUGGCCUUGUGUCCUGGUGCCCACUCAGCAGCAUGCCCUGUGGGAGAGUCACUCAACACUGCGCUGCAGUUCCGCACUGCAGCCGGGCCACGUCUUGUACAAUUGUGAAGGGGACAGGAAGUGAGGACAGUGGAGCUGUGACUGUCACUGAUGGCCAGGAGCCUCUGGGUGCCCUACUCACCUGGGACACUGAGCGGUGGCCUGGCCCCUCCUGAGGCUCUGGGGCUAGGGAUGGCUUUGGGAACCAGAGCAGGGGUCACACGGGCCCCGGGGGAUCUCAAGAGGCUCUCCUGGGCCAGGACUGGAGCAGAGGGUGGGCCACAUCCUCAGCCUCAUGUCGGUGUCCAUGAGCCCACUCAAGACGCCAUCUGGGAAAGCGGAUGUGCUUGGGACAGACUCAUGGGCGGCUGUCAGAACUGCGCUAUCCCGGCAGCCCCCUCAAAAGCCACAGCUGAACUAAAAGCCACUUCCCGUGUUGCUUUCUGCACUGGUCCUGGAAAGGCCACCCCCAAAUCCCCAGCGGGAGCCAAGACACGCCGUGCCUGAGGGGGGCUCUUGAGGCACCAGUGGCUGCUGGAGCCCCCAGUGCUCCACGAUGGCCCCAGCCUCCCAAUCUCAGCUCCGCAUCCCCAGUCCAAGCGUGUGCUCCCCCAGACCAGGCUGCUGUGUUCUCUGGACCUGGACCUCGGCCUGGGCCAGUGGCAGCUGCUGCAGAGCAGCUCCACCCACAGGGACCUCGGGACUCAGAGCUGAGGCCCAGGGACAGUGCCGGGCUCUGACGGCCCAGGUCACCCUCAGAUUUCCCAACUGCAGCUGAAGAAGGAGCCAGGUAGAAGCUUCUCCUGUUUUCCUAGGGAGCCACCUUGGAUAGCACUUCCUCACAGAAGGCCUGCUGAGACACCUCCGUGACCAUGGGGAACCCAUAAAAAGGCAGCAGGAUGCCACUUUGUAUCCAUCCCCGACCCGGGUCAGCUGCACCCUGCCUGGUGCAGGUAGGAAGUCGAGCCUGCUGUUCUGUGAGCAGAGCCCAGACGUGCGCCAGGCAGUGGUGUCGUCCUGCCCAGGUGUCCUUGUAUGGACCACAAUCCCCACCACCAGGCCCCCAGCCAUAGGUCCACAGCUGCCCCGGAUUGACUGCAAGGUGGCAGUCCCUCCUCUCUGCUUUCAUUCUGCACACAUCACUCCGGAGUGCUGUUGUUUGCUUCACUUCUGUCUGCAGAGCCCGAGUGAAUCAGACCUCACGCCAGCCUCAGCCAAGCUGCGUCCUUGGAGCCAGGGCAGCGACAUCCCCUAUCCCAAAACGUGAAAUCAAGGCAGGAGUUGGAUGCACACCUGUGAUCCCAGCACUCGGAGGCUGAGACAGGAGGAUCACCAUGAGUUCAGGGCCAUCCCGGGCUACACAGUGAGUCCAAGGCCAGCCUGAACUGCACAGCGAGACCCUGUCUCAAACAAACAAACAACCAAAUAGGGCCGGGGAUUUGGCUCAGUGGUUCCACCACUUGUCCCGAAAGGACCCGAGUUCAAUCCUGGUACAAAAAACAAAACCAAACCAAACAAACAAAAACCAAAUAGCUGAAAUCCAAAAAGCUCCAAAACUGCAAAGCUCUGGGCACCGCCUGAUGCCAUACAGAGCUCCACCCUCCCUCAGGGGCAGGUGGCAUCAGAAUGUGGCACUAAAUGAUGAAUAACUGACCUUCAGGCUGUGAGCAUCAGGUAUGUCUGAAACACAAGAGACUGUUUCGGGGUCCCAGCCCCAGCACGUCCCAUCUCAUUUCCAACAUCUGGAAGCCUCUGGACUGCCGCUCUGUUCGCAGGCACUUCAGAGAAGGGACGUGGGCCCUGUGUGCAGAGAGAACACAGGAGGAAGGGAGAGCCCAGCAGGGACGAAACCAUGCAGGCGACGGCAGCGGACAGCACUUCCUGCACCCCACAUGGGAGGACUUCGAGGCCAGGGCGAAUGCCACGCCAGAGUCCGUGGGACCCAAGCAUCUGCAGGUGUUGGGCUUCCAGGGUCCAGGUCCUCUGGGAAGGGCGGGCUGCAGCUGCCUCCCCACUUGUCAGUGUCUGCGAGGAGCCCCAGGUGGCCUUGCCUUCUUGAUUCCAGCUCGUGAUGAGGACACGUGGAUCGGAUCGAGGUGACUCAGACCACUCCGGGCGGGCAGCACUCAUGCCCUUAAUCCUAGUGCCCUCGGGCCCAGCCCCACGGAGCAUCAAUCACACACUGCAGAUCCAGCCACCUCCGAAAUAGCCCGAGACCACAUGAGGCUUUGGGGGACUCGAGACACAGCCGUCACAGGUGGAAUGCUUUGCUGCUUUCAGUCGGAGAACAGUGCCUUCCGUCGUGAAAUCACAUCAUGAAAUGAUUUUGCUGUGGGGAAGACAGAAUCAGGCGAGUGCUCGAACCACAGGCCUCCCUCAGACGCAGAGCGGUGUAGCUGGGCCUCCUCACCCCUGGGGAGCUGCAGAAGAACUCAGUCUGCUCUUCUCCUAUUGGUGCGGAAUGGGACUGUCUGGGCCACAGGUUGCCUGGCUGGGCCAGGUCUCUUUACUGCUC